AUGGUCACUUUGGCAACACAUAUACUAAAGUUGGAAGGAUACAAAAAAGAUGAGCAUAGAGCCUGUGCAAGAAUGACACACGCAUCCAUAAAGCAUAAAACAAAAUA
Dipodomys ordii (Ord's kangaroo rat) is the source of this 107-nucleotide small nuclear RNA. The record is from Ensembl. NCBI's taxonomy places the organism in Eukaryota, Metazoa, Chordata, Mammalia, Rodentia, Heteromyidae.